RNAcentral lists this ribosomal RNA (380 nucleotides) under uncultured bacterium. RNAcentral's name for it is "bacterial SSU rRNA". It matches the Rfam family "Bacterial small subunit ribosomal RNA", at positions 28 to 408 of the family's 1533-position model. The record is from RNAcentral.
GACGAACGCUGGCGGCGUGCUUAACACAUGCAAGUCGAGCGGUAAGGCCCUUUCGGGGGUACGACGAGCGGCGAACGGGUGAGUAACACGUGGGUGACCUGCCCUCAGCUCUGGGAUAAGCCUGGGAAACCGGGUCUAAUACUGGAUAUGACUCCAUGACGCAUGUUGUGGGGUGGAAAGCCUUGUGCGGCUGAGGAUGGGCCCGCGGCCUAUCAGCUUGUUGGUGGGGUGAUGGCCUACCAAGGCGACGACGGGUAGCCGGCCUGAGAGGGCGACCGGCCACACUGGGACUGAGACACGGCCCAGACUCCUACGGGAGGCAGCAGUGGGGAAUUUUGGGCAAUGGGCGCAAGCCUGACCCAGCAACGCCGCGUGAGGGA